AUUGGAUUGAAGUCAGGGACCCCUAUGGAGAAAUGAGGGAAAUGACUGAAGCAGGACAAUCUCAUAGGAAGACCAGCAAACUCAACUAACCCAGACCCCUGGGAGCUCCGGGAGACUGAGCCACCAACCAGGUAGGAUACAUGGGCUUGUCCGAGGCCCACCCAGCACACAUUUAGCAGAUGACUGCCUCGUCUGGCCUCAGUGAGAGAAGAUGUGCCUAAUCCUCAAGAGACUUGAGGCCCCAGAGAAGGAGGAUACCAGGGUAGGGAGUACCCUCUUGGAGAGCAACCAUCAUUGCUAAAUGCUGGUCAAUUUCUGGUUGGUUGGCAGAUUCUCCUUCGCCUCUGAGAGGAUCGUGCAUCAACUUCAGUUCACUUUCCCAAGAUUUGCUGGAGUUUUUGUUCUGUGCAGCAAGAUUCACUGCGGGAGGAUCAAUGACUGAGCCUGGGAAAAGCUGGGCAAGCUCAGCAUUAAUCACAACAGAAACAGCUUCGUUGGGCGGAGUAAGGGGUGGAGUCAUAAAAAGUGGUGUUGUUUUUGGAGUGGGGGGAAUAACAUCAGAUGGAUGGAUGAAGAAUCCAGGAGCAGCCACUGGGUUGGAAGACACAGCAUUGUGAACAGGACCUGCUGCUGCUGCUGCUGCUGCUGAUGCAGCGGCUGCUGCUGCCGCUGUUGUCUGAUGCAGCUUGGCUUCCAGCUUUGCUUUCUGUAAAAGUAAAAGCAAUGCCUGUAGAAGAAUCCUGAAGACAGUGUGAGGACACUGAUGCUCAUAUAUGACAAACUUAAACGAGAUUAGUAAGAUUCUGCGUACACGAGACAAAACUGGACUCAAGCAAACGAGUUCAACGUUAACUGACAGGAUACAAUUUCUCAAGCAGAGUUUGCACAGGUUGCAUUUUGUCAGCAAUUAAAUCGAUAAACCAUGUUAUCAUAAUUGCUGUACUUAUAAUCAAACUAAUGUCCUACAAUUUAUAAUGUCCAACAGUCUCUGUUCCAUGAAAACAGUAACUGAUAACAAUAUAAUGUUUCUCCAAAAGUUUUUAAACAUAAAAGUACAAGUGACUUCAAGGCUACUCAAAAAGUAUCUUUUUUUUUCUCAAUCACAUCCUAAAUAAAAUGCAGUCAUAUAAUAAUACAUUUAAACAUAUCACAAAGGCAUUACCUCAAUUUUUUGUUGAAAACGAUUAGCUCAGAUUGGACAACCUACUUUUCUUUCUGAAAACAAUGGUCAUUUUUACAGUACUUUUCAGCUUUUGAAGUUUAGAGACAGCAUGAACAAAGAGCCAAAUAGUCUCCAACCUGUUGCUGAAGCUUCAAAAGCUGCUGCUGUUUCUCUUGCAGCACCUGCAGCUGUUGCUCGGCUGAAGCCAUUGCAUGAGAGAGAGACUGCAAAGCUACCUGGGCUGCUGAACUCAGGGCUGUCGAGGCUUCCCCAACUGUGCCAGAUGAUAGGCCACCUACUGCAGGAGGAACCCCGAAGGAACUCACUGGCAUGAGACAAGGGAAAGACAAAACAAGACACCAGGAUGAAGAAAAGACCAUGGAGCAUGUGUGGAAGUACUUGUGGAGUCUGCUGGCUCUUUUCACCAACAGAGGUCUCAGAGACGAACUUAGGGCAUCAGCAUUGGCAGUAAGCAUCAACUACCUACUGAACCACCCUGGCCGCCUGGUCUGAACUUUCUAAAUGGAAUCAGUUCUUUUUCUUUUCUAAAAUUAUAAAUCUCUGUAUCUCUCAGGGC
RNAcentral lists this long non-coding RNA (1739 nucleotides) under Mus caroli (Ryukyu mouse). Its description in RNAcentral is "lncRNA (MGP_CAROLIEiJ_G0005230.1)". The record is from RNAcentral. Lineage: Eukaryota; Metazoa; Chordata; Mammalia; Rodentia; Muridae.